Non-coding RNA from Caenorhabditis elegans, 144 nucleotides. Lineage: Eukaryota; Metazoa; Nematoda; Chromadorea; Rhabditida; Rhabditidae. The record is from Ensembl.
AAAAAAAAACGAAGGACACGUUAAUUAAGUGUUUUUUGACGUAUUUCUCCAACUGGUUUGGGUUUCAUUAGGCAUACUGGAAGGGCGUGAUAAGGGCGUGUAAAGAGGCGCCCCGUAACGCCCUCACCAGAUGAAUGUCUAGUU